Molecule: long non-coding RNA, 1278 nt
Organism: Zalophus californianus (California sea lion)
Lineage: Eukaryota; Metazoa; Chordata; Mammalia; Carnivora; Otariidae
Exons: 4
Source: RefSeq, a predicted model, not a curated record
GCGCGCCGCGCUAGGAGGCGGGGCUUCGAGCUGCGUGCGAGGGCCGGCUCCCCGCGGCUUGCCCCGCCUCCUCGGGGCUGGGGUCGCGAAGACCCGGGCGCGCGCCUCAGGCUAGUGUUCCGAGUGCCGCCGUCGGCGGGGACCUUGGGAGGCGCUGGUGCUCUUAGCCACUACGAACUCGGCUUCCAGAGGGGGCUAACUCUGAAACCAGCAUCUCUUCUCCCCCAUUGCCUCCCGCUCCGAGUGAGCUAUUUCUCGCACCUUCUGCACGCGGAUCUCAACACCUGGGCGCUGGGAAGGGAGGUCGACUGCUUUAGAACUCCACCUUAGAGCGGCGCAGCUCAGACCAAGGAACAAAAAAGAAGUUUAGUAAGUGGUUCCUAUGGAGACACUGAUGCUUGAUCUACGCAGUUACCUCCGCGUUCAAUUACUGAUGGUCUGUCGCAACUUGACAGAACUGAGAGGGGGUAACAUGCCCAGGAGCCAAGUAGGAGCCCAUUUGGAAGAGGAAAAAACCUCAGUCUGCUCAGGAGCCUGAGCCACUCCCUCAAGCCAAAGGUCAGAAACAAAGCAGAUUUGGGAGGCUACAAUCAAGGUCAUUUGAGAAGUAAGACCCGGUGUCUUACCCUUACCUAUGGGUGUCCACAUAGAAAUUUAUAGACAUGGGAAAGGCUAGAUAAUGAGAAUGCUCCAUAAAGAGGCACCGUACUUCACCAGGGAGAAAGGCAUCCAAGUUGCUUCACAAAUGUUAAGAAAUAUGCCUAUUUAAUUGUAUGUUGCAUUUUCCCUGGUCUUUGUUUUAUUCAUUUCAUGUGCAGUGAUUAAAAAGAUAUAUUGUACAUUUUAUUAUCUCUUAUGUUUUCCAAUAAAUACAAACCUGGCAUACUUUUUUUCUCAAAUUCUUCUCGGAGGUGUGGUGAACAUCGAGUAAGAUAAUGAUUUUGAAAUGCUUAUGUCUUGUCCAUUUGGGCUGCUAUACCAAAAUACUGAGUCACUUAUGGAUAACAGAAAUUUAUUUCUAACAGUUCUGGAGGCCAGAAAUCUGAAAUCAGGGUGCUGGCAUGGUCAAGUGAGGGCUGUCUUUCAGGUUACAGAUUUCUUGUAUCCUCAUUUGGAGCCUUUUUAAUAAGGCACUAAUCACCUUCCAAAGGCCCCACCUCCUAAUACCAUCACUUUUAGGGGUAAGAAUUUGACGUAUGGAUUUUGGGAGGACACACUCUGUGAGACUGUGAUUUAUAAGAAUUAUAUGUUUGGUCAUUCAGAUGACCAAAAUAUACA